Molecule: ribosomal RNA, 253 nt
Filed under: uncultured bacterium
Lineage: Bacteria
Description: partial 16S ribosomal RNA
Rfam family: Bacterial small subunit ribosomal RNA
Source: RNAcentral
UACGUAGGUGGCAAGCGUUGUCCGGAAUUACUGGGUGUAAAGGGCGUGUAGGCGGGAAUAUAAGUCAGAUGUGAAAUCCCUGGGCUCAACCUAGGAGCUGCAUCUGAAACUAUAUUUCUUGAGUGCUGGAGAGGAAAGCGGAAUUCCUAGUGUAGCGGUGAAAUGCGUAGAUAUUAGGAGGAACACCAGUGGCGAAGGCGGCUUUCUGGACAGUAACUGACGCUGAGGCGCGAAAGCGUGGGGAGCAAACAGG